AUUGAACGCUGGCGGUAUGCUUAACACAUGCAAGUCGAACGGCAGCACAGACUGUAGCAAUACAGUUGGGUGGCGAGUGGCGGACGGGUGAGUAACGCGUGGGAAUCUGUCUUAAAGUGGGGGAUAACUCGAGGAAACUCGAGCUAAUACCGCAUAUCUAGCUUGCUAGAAAGGGGGCCUCUGUUUACAUGCUUUCGCUUUAAGGUGAGCCUGCGUCUGAUUAGCUAGUUGGUAGGGUAAAGGCCUACCAAGGCAAUGAUCAGUAGCUGUUCUGAGAGGAAGACCAGCCACACUGGGACUGAGACACGGCCCAGACUCCUACGGGAGGCAGCAGUGGGGAAUAUUGGACAAUGGGGGAAACCCUGAUCCAGCAAUACCGCGUGUGUGAAGAAGGCCUGCGGGUUGUAAAGCACUUUUAUUGGGGAGGAAAAGUUAAAAGCUAAUACCUUUUAACCGUGACGCUACCCAAAGAAAAAGCACCGGCUAACUCUGUGCCAGCCGCCGCCGUAA
Molecule: ribosomal RNA, 510 nt
Filed under: uncultured bacterium
Lineage: Bacteria
Description: partial 16S ribosomal RNA
Rfam family: Bacterial small subunit ribosomal RNA
Source: RNAcentral